Molecule: ribosomal RNA, 454 nt
Filed under: Clostridioides difficile
Lineage: Bacteria; Bacillati; Bacillota; Clostridia; Peptostreptococcales; Peptostreptococcaceae
Description: bacterial SSU rRNA
Rfam family: Bacterial small subunit ribosomal RNA
Source: RNAcentral
UUUUAUUUGAGAGUUUGAUCCUGGCUCAGGAUGAACGCUGGCGGCGUGCCUAACACAUGCAAGUUGAGCGAUUUACUUCGGUAAAGAGCGGCGGACGGGUGAGUAACGCGUGGGUAACCUACCCUGUACACACGGAUAACAUACUGAAAGGUAUGCUAAUACGGGAUAAUAUAUUUGAGAGGCAUCUCUUGAAUAUCAAAGGUGAGCCAGUACAGGAUGGACCCGCGUCUGAUUAGCUAGUUGGUAAGGUAACGGCUUACCAAGGCGACGAUCAGUAGCCGACCUGAGAGGGUGAUCGGCCACAUUGGAACUGAGACACGGUCCAAACUCCUACGGGAGGCAGCAGUGGGGAAUAUUGCACAAUGGGCGAAAGCCUGAUGCAGCAACGCCGCGUGAGUGAUGAAGGCCUUCGGGUCGUAAAACUCUGUCCUCAAGGAAGAUAAUGACGGUACUU